AGGAGGGCGUGGGGUUGGGGUUGGGGGAACACUAAAAGAAGGCCAUACUUGCAGGGAUGGGUUGGAACAUCCGCCUUGGAAGUUUAAGGGAAAAAAUUGAAGUACAUCAACUCUUGCUAAUCUGUGUCACAUGACCAUCUGGAUCCCAGGAAUCCUUACCUUGAACAACAAUCGGGAGCUAAGGAAGGAGAGGUUAAACACCGUGAGACCAGACAUUGAAGUGCACGGCUGUAAUCCCAGCACCUGGGAGGUUGAAGCAGGAUGAUCCUAGUUGGAAAGCAACCUGGUCUACAGGGCAAGAGCCUGUCUCAAAAACAAACCAACAAAGGUUGGAGAGAUUUUUCUUCUUUUUUAAGGUGAGUCAGUGAGGAUGAAUGAGUAGGCAGUUAGUGUAUUAACUAAGGCUAAGGCUGUAGCUGGAAGAACAGAAGAAAAGAACAUAAAAAGAGAGAUGGAGCUGCCGGAUACCCACAAAUCCUUCCCAGGGGUUUAUGCCCAGAUGUCCUCAGCUCCUCCUCCCAACUGAAGUAGAUGAGGGAUUAAGGUUCCUUCUACCCUCGUCUUUGAUUUGCAUCCUAUCCACUUGUAAACAACAUCACCUAUACUCUUUCAAAUUACUGUAAUAGUCCUUUAUUUGAGAUUCCCUGACAGCUGAAUCUGACGGGUAGCCAUACAAAGUGCUACAAGAAGGCAGAAGAUACAACUCAGGAAGUUGUACACCUGGCCUGAGGCUGGUUAGUCACUUCUGCUCAGGACCAUUCUGGAGAGAAGGCAGUCUAGUUGCUGUCCAACUUCCUGGAGGAAGACACAAGUGAAAAGCAGUCAGCUACACACACACACACACACACAUUUAUACACUUACACUUAUACACAUUUGCACACUUACACACACACACACCCUGGUGCUUCAGUGGACUCUGACCUGAUGUGGUAAGCCCUGUGAGAUGGAGAACUUUGAAAAGUACCAAUUUAGGUCGAAUGACAGAGCCAUAUUUGGUGAUUCCUUUGCCUCUAAGAAGCGGAGACAGACGCUUUACUUCUAAGUCCACCUGACCUCUCCUGACCCAUACAUCACUUGUUCACUUUAUUUAUGAUGUGUGUGUGUACGUGUGCGGUAUGUAUGCAGUGAGUAUAUGUGUGAGCACAUGCAGAGACACAGGUUAAUAUUGGGUGUUUCUCUUAUUUUUUUUUCUUAUUUUAUGAAAUAGGGUCAUUCACUAAACCUGGAACUUCCUGUUUUACCGAGGCUGACUGGCUAGCAGGACCCCCUCCAGGACUCACUCCCAGUGCUGGGGUUACAGAUGUACAUCACCAUGCCUGGCUUUUACAGGAUGUUGGGGAUCUGAACGCAGGUCCUCAUGCUUGCACAGCAAACACUGUACCCACCAACCCAUUCCCCCAGCCCUCAAUUUUAUUUACUUUUAAAUUUUAACUUAUUGUGAUUUAGGGGGUAGGGAAAAGUUGGCUUUUUGUUCAUUUGUUUGUUGUUUGUUUUGAAGGAUUUAACUCAUGGCUUAAGAAGGGAUAUGUCCACCAUGGUGGUGAAGCCAUGACAGCCAGAAUAUGAGGUGUUUGAUUACUGCAUAGUCAGGAGUCAGAGAAAUGUAUCUGGUCCUUGGCUAGGGUAAUGGCUGCUCUUGGUUGUCAACUUGACUGCAUCAAGUGGCUAGAUACACUUGUGAGGGAUUUUUCUUAAUUAAAUUAUUUGAAGUGGGAAGUCCCACCUUUAAUCUAGAUCUUUUGAGAUGGGAAAAUCCAUCUUUAAUCUAGGCCACGCUUUCCAGGGGCAGCCUGUAUAAAUGAUAAGGAAGAAGGAACCCCUUUGUUCUUCGCUUGCUUGCCCUUGCCUUGCUGGCAAGUUCAUCCCUUUACUGGCAUUAUAGCCAACUGCUUUGGGAUUCCGGCAUACACUGAAGACCAGCUGAGACAUCUUGAACUUUCUGUUGGUAGACAGCCAGUGUGUGUGUGUGUGUGUGUGUGUGUGUGUGUGUGUGUGUGUCUUAGUUCUGGCUUUAUUGCUUUGAAGAGACAUUAUGACCAUAGCAACUCUUAUAAAGGACAACAUUUAACUGGGGCUGGCUUACAGUUUCAGAGGUUCAGUCCAUCAUCAUCAUGGUGGCAAGCAUGGCAGCAUCCAGGCAGACAUGGUGCUGGAGAAGGAGCUAAGAGUUCUACAUCUUGGGGUUAGGGAUUUAGCUCAGUGGUAGAGCGCUUGCCUAGCAAGCCCAAGGCCCUGGGUUCAGUCCCCAGCUCCGGAAAAAAAAAAAAGAAGAGUUCUACAUCUUGAUCUUCAGGCAGCAGAAGGAGACUGGAACCUUAAAGCAGGCCCUCACAGAGACACACCUACUUCAACAAGCCACACCUACUGCAACAAGCCACACCUACUGCAACAAGCCACACCUACUGCAACAAGCCACACCUCCUAAUAGUGCCACUCCCUAUGUCCAGGCAUUCAAACACAUGAGUCUAUGGGGGCCGUGCUGACUAGAACUUCUAGAGAUUUGUGACUAAUAUAUCUGGCUUCUUCCUUUUCCUGUUUUUAUUCAGUCUAGGACCCCAGCCCAGCCCAUGGGAUGAUGCUACACAGGUUCAAGGUGAAGCUUCCCUAUUCAGUUGAGUGUCUCUAGAAACACCCUCAUCCACAUCUUUGCAGGAUGUACCAAUCCCAGCAUCUCCAACAUCCCGGGGUCUCCACUGCAACUUCGGCUUCAUCUUCACAGCCUCAUAUGAUGGUCUCUUUUGGUCUUCUUGUAGGGACUCUGACCCCACCAUUCACUGCCUGAUCUUAGCAGCUCUCUGGAACCUUGGCAGAAGCCUCCGUGGCCCUACAACCCUCACAUGUUGCACAUCUGCUAAUCCAGGACGUUGAGGGUGACAGGUUCUGCCCACAGCUCAAGAUGUGCUCUGUCCGUUCUACCACAGCUUCCGUGCACUUUAGAGGCUCAGCCUAGGAGAAUGUCUUCUAAGCGGUAUUUUCAAUGUUCACUCUGACAAUUUCAUGCAUAUAUGUAAUCACAUUAUCACUCCAUUAAUAAUAAUUAAUAAUAAUCAGCUCACAUUAAUCACUCCACCCCCUCACAUGGGCCUCCUACCCCACCUCCCCCAGUUUCCCCCACCUCCUGCCUCCAAGUCCUCUUCCCUUGUUUGUGUCUUUGUGGUUUGUUCCUAUUUUUAAAGCAGUUGUUUUAAAAGCAGAGAAUCCCUUCCUCUGCGUUUUCAAUCUGGCCUCCAAAAUCUUCCGCCUUACUCCGGAGGGCUAAAAGCCACGUGGUCAGAUUUACCACAGAAGCGACCGAACUUCUCCAGACCAACUUUCUGUGUUAGUUUCUUUCUCCAUUGUUUCUGACAAUAUGCUUGUCAGAAGCCACUCCAGGUGAACAAAGAUUUAGCUCAUGGCAAGCAGUGGAGUGCCAAGUGUGGUAAGACUGCACCAAGAGGCAGGGAGCAGAGUGAGGGAUCUGGUGUUUGUUUGCCUGGGCUUUCUGUUUAGAACUGUUUGUUUUCACACUGAGUUUCACUGUGUAGACCAGGUUGGCUCCAACGUCCUGAUUUACCUGACCCGGCCUCCCCGGAAGAACAUGCAUAGCCUGGAACAACUUUGAUUGCGUUUCAAAUUUUUUUUCUCUUUUGUUGGUUCUAAAAUAAACUUUUUAAAAAAGAUUUAUUUAUUUCAGGCAUGUGAGUACACUGUCACUCCCUUCAGACACACAUCAGAAGAGGGCAUCGGAUCCCAUUACAGAUGGCUGUGAGCCACCAUGUGGUUGCUGGGUAUUGAACUCAGGACCUCUGGAAGAGCAGUCAGUGCUCUUAACCGCUGAGCCAUCUUUCCAGCCUCAGUUCUGAAAUUUUUGACUAUGCUGUGACUUGACAUAGUGUAUCAUCUUCUUCAUGCAUCUUGGUUUCUAUUAAUCUUUCUCCUGUGGAUUUAUGGAUUUAUUGUAUUUAUCCAUUUGAGUCACUGGGUUUUGCCUUUUCUUUUUCUCUCUGUUCCCUUUUUCCUUCAGACAGGGUGUUUCUCUAUAGCUCUGGCUAGCCUAGAGCCUGGCACAUAGAUGAGGCUAGCCUUCAACUCAUGGGGAUCUGCCUGUCUCUGCCUUCAAAGUGAUGGAAUUACAAGAACUUGCUGCUAUAUCUGACUACUAAGUUUUCAAUAUUCUUUUUCUAUCUUGCCUUCUCUCAUGUCCUUCAAGAACAAUAACUCGUCCCUUUGGGAUUGCGCCACAUUCACUGACACUUUGUUCUUUAUUUUAAAAGCAUUUUCCUACUCUGUUUUGUGUUUGCUGUCUGAGCUCAUGUGGAUCCAAUUAAAGUUAAUCUAUUUCAAUAUGAGAUGACAUUUUUUGCAAGAAUUUUUGGUACUUUUAAGUAGGGAUAUUUUUACUAUUUUCAUUAGUGCAGUUAUUUUUGAACAUAUGGUAUACGGUUUGCCGUACCCUUUCCUAACAAUUGCAUUCCUGGCAGUUCUUUGCCAGUUGUGACUGAUUUAUUGCUGACCACUGUGUGCUGCCUUUUCCUGUCUAGAUUCAGCUCCUGUAUCAUUCUCCCCACCAGCAAGGACAUCGGAAGUUGUCCUGUUACUUUGUAGCUGCUGUGUAGCUUGCUACAAAGCUUUGUUGACAGAUGUUUUAAGCUUGGAAACUGUUUCAUCUUCCUGCAUCUUCUUUUUACCCUUUUCUAGGUAGAGAUCUGUGGUUUUGAACAGGAGUAAUUAUUCUCCAGCGGGAAGCAAGGGGAAGCACAGUCCCCAAUAGUCAGGGAAUUAAGAGCUUCUCCAUCCUUCCAGAUGGGAGUGGGUGCCCGCCCACCCCCCCAUCAGCCAGAGGACACUGGUACCUUUUGCUCUAAUUCCUCUGGGGACUCAGGUAGUUUCCUUCUUCUGCCCCUCCCUCCCUUGCUUCCUCCCCUGCUCCAUCCCUUUCUUUUGUUUUUGUAACACCAGGCUUCACUCAGUAGCCCCUGUUGGAUUCACUGUGUGGCCCAGACUCAAGGCAAAGCCUGCUUCCGCCUCUUGGUGCUGAGACUUACAGCAUUGUGUCAAUGAUACAUCCUUACAGUGAGGAAUGUAAACACAAUCCUCACCAGCAGUACAGGAGGAUGACUUCAAGGAAGAUGGCUUCAAGGAGGAUGGCUUCAAGAGCAAAGGGAUGGAGUGGGGAGAGCCAGAGAGCACACAGCUUUUCUAAAUAUAGACUAUUUCUCAGCCAUCUGAUGUCCCACCAUCCCACCAGCAGACAUGUCCCACACGAGUGAUGGAAGUCCCAGCUGGUGAGGAAGCUGCUUCAUCAGGAUGCUUUGCUUGAGAUUUUUCUUCCCCCCUUUUGGAAGAUGCACCUCGAAGAGACCAGCUCCAUGCUGGUGCUGUAGCUGCAAUCAGAGGGCUUGGAUUCUACCCGCUGCCCUGUCACAGCAGCCACUCUGAUAACAACAGACAAGAACACAGCUGCCGUUCAACUCCCACAGGCUGUCUCAUGCGGUCCAUGCAUCUGGUUGUGUGACCCAUGUUUAGCCAAUGCUGGUUACCUCAGAAAUCUUGGUGCCCGUGUAAUACUUAGGGUUCUUGUCUUUUCAUUUUUUUUAAAAAUGUAUUUAUUCAUUAUAUAAGUACACUGUAGCUGUCUUCAGACACACCAGAAGAGGGCAUCGGAUCCCAUUACAGAUGGUUGUGAGCCACCAUGUGGUUGCUGGGAAUUGAACUCAGGACCUCUGGAAGAGUAGUCGGGUGCUCUUAACCACUGAGCCAUCUCUCCAGCCCAGGGUUCUUGUCUUUUCAAUGUCUUGCAUUAUCAUAUUAAAAUAUAAGGUAUGCCUCGUGUUACAUUGUGAUUGAACAAGGUAGCUGGAAAAUAAAAGACAGAGGACACUGACCUCAUGGCAGCAGGUUGUCCUUUACUAGAACAUUGAAAGGCAGGAGCCUCUCUGAGUGGGCAGAGACUGUGUGCUGUGGGGGCUGGGAAAGCUGGGCCUUUAUGGACGAUGAGAGGGGGAUGGGGCCAAGAAUUCUUGUGGUUUUUGUGAGAACUGCUGUUUGGAGAGACACCUGGGACUAUUCCCGAAUGGAACAUUUAACUUGAGAUAGAUUUCUUUAUCGGGGGGCAGGGUGAUUCCUUAGUUUAGGAGGUCUUUGCCCAGCGCUUGGGAGGCUGAGGCAGGAGGAUCACUGCAAGUUUGGUAAGUUUGGGUUAUAGGUUCAUCAGCUUGAGUCUGUCUCAAAAACAAACAAACAAAUAAACAAAUAAUUCAAAACAAAAUAAAAAUAUCGCAAAAUAUAAAAGCCCAUUUUAAAUAUUUUCCUUUGGUGCUUAGGGAUGAACAGUAGCCCGUUUUCAUCUAUAGUGUUCCCAGGUAGAUCUGUCUACAUGCACUAUGUGGAUAUUUUCAGGAAUGAGUAAUCUGUAAGUUUUACGUUGCACGUCACCCUGGGUAUCGUGACAAAGUCACACUGUUCUGUUGUCUUGCUGGGACAUGACUCAUCCCGUGGAACAGGUCGGAAGGUGUGAAAGCCAUUGUCAAAACGGUUUUUGAAGCUGGGCUGCGGGCACAUACAGGCCUGCCAUGCCGCUACCUGGGAGAUGGAGGCCAGACAAUCAGGAGGUCAGCCAGCCAGCCAACCAACCAACCAACCAACCAAGCAUGGUCCUUGUGAGAUGACUUAGUGGUUAAAGAUUCGUGCAGCCAAACCUGACGACGGGAAUUUAUCUCCAGGACUGUUAUGGUGGAACAAGAGAACUGACUCUUAUCACAGAACAAUAUGAAAUGUUCCCUGUUUCCUGCUCUAAAGGCAGUGGGACCUGAGAGUAGAGCCUAAAAGUGAGGUGGAAUAGAAGUUUCACGCAAUCGUCAACUUUAGACAGUUCAUACACUGAGGGUUGAGGUGAGUCACACGUGUAAGGUGCUCACACAAUCACAAGGGCAAAAACAUGUUUUUCUGUAGAGGCCCAUGAAGAACAACAGCUGAGGUAAACUCGCUUUUAUCCAUGACACCUGGGAGGAACAUGAAACACAAUCCAAGGACAAGGCUGUGUUUUUGAGGAAACUGAGGUCACAAGACUUUUGUUGUCUUGGAGGUUUCCAAGCAAGCACUCAGAUUUGUCACAGUGACUCCAUUCUUGGUCUGUAUUCUGACACCCACAAUUUAAAGACUCUAGUGUUUCUCUCCAGUUUUUUUUUUUACUUUUUAAAGAUUUAUUUAUUUUACUUAUUUGAAUAUACUGUAGCUGUCUUCAGACACACCAGAAAAGGGCAUCAGAUCCCAUUACAGAUGUUCAUGAGCCACCAUGUGGUUGCUGGGAAUUGAACUCAGGACCUCUGGAAGAGCAGUCAGUGCUCUUAACCACUGAGCCAUCUCUCCAACACUCUAAUGUCUCUUUAAGUACCAGCACUCAGCUGGAGGACUGGCUCAGUGGUUAAAGGUGGUCAAAAGCACUGGCUACUCUUCCAGAAGUCCUGAGUUCAAUUCCCAGCAACCACAUAGUGGCUCACACUUGUACGUAACUCAAGUUCCAGGGGAUCUGACACAUUCACACACACACAUUCACACACACAGGCAAAACGUCAAUGCACAUAAAAUAAAAGUAAAUAACUAAAAAGAAAUAAAUACCAGCACUUAAAUAAUAGAGUCACGGGCAUGGCUAUCAACCUUGCUCAUAGCAGAUUCUAAGUAUCAACAAAUGGAAUCUAACAGUGUCCCCAAAGAAUAAUCUAUGUGACCUGAAAGUUAUUUGUAAAGACUUUUAGGGGGGGCUGGGGAUUUAGCUCAGUGGUAGAGCGCUUGCCUAGGAAGCGCAAGGCCCUGGGUUCGGUCCCCAGCUCCGAAAAAAAAAGAACCAAAAAAAAAAAAAAAGACUUUUAGGAUUCUAAUCAAAGUGCUUCAUUAAUUUGCAAUAAAUGUUACCAUUAAAACACUGACAUUUCGGGGUUGGGGAUUUAGCUCAAUGGUAGAGCGAUUGCUUAGGAAGCGCAAGGCCCUGGGUUCGGUCCCCAGCUCCGAAAAAAAGAACCAAAAAAAAAAAAACACACUGACAUUUCCAGAAGAAAAGAUAAAAUCUCUUCCUACUUGGUUAUUUACUGUCUUUCAACAAUAUUUUAAAUCUCAUACACCUUUUGUUCAGUAUAUUCAUAGGUAUUUUAUAUUGGCACCUUUAGAUGGAUUUUUAAUUAAAAAAUUACAUUUGUGUGUGUAUGGUGUGUAUGUUUGUGUGUGUGUGGGGUGUGUGUGUAUGGUAUAUAGGUGUGUGUAGUGUGUGUGUGUGGUGUGUGUGUGUAUGGUGUGUAUGUGUGUGUGUGUGGUGUGUGUGUAUGGUGUGUAUGUGUGUGUGUGGUGUGUGUAUGGUAUGUAUGUGUGUGUGUUUAGUGUGUGUAUGGUAUGUAUGUGUAGUGUGUGUGUGUUUGGUGUGUAUGUGUUUGUGUGUGUGGUGUGUAUGUAUGGGUGUGUGUGUUGUGUGUGUGUAUGGCGUGUAUGUGUGUGUGUAUGUGUCUGUGUGUGUCUGUGUCUGUGUGUGUGUAUGGUAUAUAUGUAUGUGUAUGUGUGUGCGUGGUGUGUGUGUGUGUGUGUGUGUGUGUGUGUGUGUGUGUACCAGGCCUGUCAGAGGACAACUUGGCAGGCAUCAGGCCCCUCUGUCUACCACAUGAGUUCCAGAAAUCGAACUCAGAUCAUCAAGAUUGGCUGCAAGUGCUGUGAAUUGUCUCGCUGACCUGAGUGGGUUUUAUUUUCUCACACUUUGCUACUGAUAUGUAACAAAUUUAAACAAUUAACCUUUGAACCCAUGAACCUAUGAACAAUUAAACUUUGCUAGACCUUCUAGUAGUUUAUCAUUACAAUCGUUUUAGAAAGAGAAUCAUGUCCUUUGAAAAAAUAUGUUCGUUUCUUUCCUAACGAAUCUGCCUUUUGUUUUAUUGCCCUGGGAAGAGAAUGUACCAUCAUGUUGAAUAUUAGAAGUAAAAAUGGAUAGUCACAUUUUACUGUUUCCUGUGACAAGAACUAUUAAGCUUCACAUUUACAAUAGGCUUCUGCUAAAAGCCUUUCAUCAAAUUGCUAUCUGUUCUCCUUUUGCUAAGUAGACACUGGAUUGUUAAAUGUUAACCACUCAGCUAAUUGUAUAGUAUUAAACUUCUAAAUUAUGAACAGGAUGGAUUGCAGUGAUAGACUUAAAUGUUAAGCACUUCUGGGGAAACUUUUUUUUUACGUCUAUCUAGGUAGACUGCUAGGUAGCUUUAGUGAUCUGUCAAGAGCUUUAUCUGUUGGUGGGUUUAACUCCAAGUUUUCUCUGGAGCUAUCUUUGCUGGGUUUAGUUAUUAAGACACUACUGCUAGUAAAUGAUCUGAGCACUUUCUUAUGUUAAAAUACAGUGUCUGUGGGGGUGGAGAGAUGGCUCAGCAGUUAAGAGCAUAGACUGCUCUUCCAGAGGUCCUGAGUUCAAUUCCCGGCAACCACGCAGUGGCUUACAAAUAUCUGUAAUGGGAUCUGAUGCCCUCUUCUGCUGUGUCUAAGACAGCUACCAUGUAUUUAUAUACAUAAAUAAAUAAAUAAUGAAAAUACAGUGUCCAUGAUAGCAAAUCAGGCAAGUAAAGUAUGUAUAACUUGAUGCCCUGUUCCAGGCAGAAGAGCCAGGGUGAGAAAAGCACUCUAGAAAGUGAGUGUAAUCGUCUCACUGUGAGGCCCUGACUCUCUGUUCUUACUUCUCCACCUCCUCCUCCUCCUUUCUUCUUCUCACUAUGUAGCUCUGGCUGGCCUAGAACUCUUCAUGCAGACCAUGAACUCACAGAGAUCUGCCUUUGCCUCCUGAGAGCUGGGAUUAAAGUAGUGAGCUACCAUGCCCAGAAAAGUUACAUCUUCUUAAAUGAGUAAGAGGAAUGAAAUGGAUUUGGCUCAAACUGAUAACAAAUUAACAUUUUGUAUAUUGAAUCCAAAAACCUUGUAUGUUUGGAUUGAAUGUAAGAUCUGCUUUACAUCUAUGUUUACAGACCAAUUCUUGUUUUCUUUUUUUUUUUUUUUUUUUUUUUUCUUUUUUCGGAGCUGGGGACCGAACCCAGGGCCUUGUGCUCGCUAGGCAAGCGCUCUACCACUGAGCUAAAUCCCCAACCCCCAAUUCUUGUUUUCUUAUUUUGUUCUUUUUUGCUUCAAAUUCUGGUUCCAAUCUCCUAGGAUCCGAAAGAAAUGUUUGAACACACUGUUCUAACCCUGUUUACAGACAGCUUUUGGGUUGUACAUUCCUGGAGAACUCUGACAGCUAACUGGUUGGUCAGUCAGUGCCGCCCCUGAAAUCUUAAGUCUUUCCUGCAACUUCACAAUGUGAAUUUGGAAAUAAGGCUGCAUGUGAGUAAAUAGGAACAAGCUGAGCUUUUAAAUCCAACAGGAUGGGUGUCCUUAUAAAACACAGAAAGAAGGAGCACAGCGUGUGACAACAGGGUAGAGCAGUGCUGCUCUAAGUCAAAGCAUACACAUGAGUUAUAGCAAUCACCAGAGACUAAGAAAGGCAAAGAUAUCUAUUCAAAAAUGACAGAGGAAGCCUGACUCUACCAAGACACAAAUGUCAAACGUCUGUUGUUUUAGACUCUCAACAUUUGAUGUCUGC
Non-coding RNA from Rattus norvegicus (Norway rat), 10571 nucleotides. The record is from RefSeq and is a predicted model, not a curated record. NCBI's taxonomy places the organism in Eukaryota, Metazoa, Chordata, Mammalia, Rodentia, Muridae.